This 440-nucleotide ribosomal RNA is filed under the name Pectobacterium carotovorum. Its description in RNAcentral is "bacterial SSU rRNA". It matches the Rfam family "Bacterial small subunit ribosomal RNA", at positions 338 to 795 of the family's 1533-position model. Lineage: Bacteria; Pseudomonadati; Pseudomonadota; Gammaproteobacteria; Enterobacterales; Pectobacteriaceae. The record is from RNAcentral. RNAcentral also lists the same sequence under 1 other name.
CCUACGGGGGGCAGCAGUGGGGAAUAUUGCGCAAUGGGGGCAACCCUGACGCAGCAAUGCCGCGUGAGUGAAGAAGGCCUUCGGGUCGUAAAGCUCUUUUAUGGGGGAAGAUGAUGACGGUACCCCAUGAAUAAGCACCGGCUAACUACGUGCCAGCAGCCGCGGUAAUACGUAGGGUGCGAGCGUUGUUCGGAAUUACUGGGCGUAAAGGGCGUGCAGGCGGAUUGGCAAGCCGGAGGUGAAAGCCCGGGGCUCAACCCCGGAGGGUCUUUCGGAACUGCCAGUCUUGAGAGGGUCAGGGGCCAGCGGAAUUCCUGGUGUAGAGGUGAAAUUCGUAGAGAUCAGGAGGAACACCGGCGGCGAAAGCGGCUGGCUGGGGCCACUCUGACGCUGAGGCGCGAAAGCGUGGGGAGCAAACAGGAUUAGAUACCCUUGUAGUC